This 439-nucleotide ribosomal RNA is filed under the name uncultured bacterium. RNAcentral describes it as "partial 16S ribosomal RNA". It matches the Rfam family "Bacterial small subunit ribosomal RNA", at positions 339 to 795 of the family's 1533-position model. The record is from RNAcentral.
CUACGGGUUGCUGCAGUGAGGAAUAUUGCACAAUGGGGGGAACCCGGAUGCAGCAACGCCGCGUGGAGGAUGACGCAUUUCGGUGUGUAAACUCCUUUUAUAUGUCAAGAAAAUGACGGUAGCAUAUGAAUAAGCACCGGCUAACUCCGUGCCAGCAGCCGCGGUAAUACGGAGGGUGCAAGCGUUACUCGGAAUCACUGGGCGUAAAGGACGCGUAGGCGGGUUGGAAAGUCAGGUGUGAAAUCCUACAGCUUAACUGUAGAACCGCACUUGAAACUUCUAAUCUAGAGUAUGGGAGGGGGAGAUGGAAUUAGUGGUGUAGGGGUAAAAUCCGUAGAUAUCACUAGGAAUACCUAAAGCGAAGGCGAUCUCCUGGAACAUUACUGACGCUAAGGCGUGAAAGCGUGGGGAGCAAACAGGAUUAGAUACCCUUGUAGUC